AAGAACUUUGAAGAGAGAGUUCAAGAGAACGUGAAAUCGUUAAAGUGGAACCGGAGAGAGUUGACGAAGCUUUUGUGGUGAAGAUUUUCGUGAUUGCUUAAUUGUAAUUACGUUUGUUGGAUCUGCUUUUGCUGCGUUGGCAGGGUUGUUGAUGUCUUUUGAAGCGUGUAGUGUUGCCCACUUUGUUGUGGUGUCUUGCUUGCGUGGAAAUUGAUCAUUAGUAGCUUUUGCCAAUGUUCAAGUCGACCACCUUUCCGACCCGUCUUGAAACACGGACCGAGGAGUGUAACUAAUGCGCGAGUCAAAGGGUGUUAAAACCCUACGGCGAAAUGAAAGUAAAGACCAGUUAACUGGUAUUACAUAGGAGGUGUUCUUCAUUGAGCAUUGCACUAUGGCCCUGUCUUGAAAGCUUGCUUUCGGGCAGAGGAAGAGCGUAUUGGUUGCGACCCGAAAGAUGGUGAACUAUGCUUGAGCAGGACGAAGCCAGAGGAAACUCUGGUGGAAGUCCGUAUCGGUUCUGACGUGCAAAUCGAUCGAUAGACUUGAGUAUAGGGGCGAAAGACUAA
RNAcentral lists this ribosomal RNA (566 nucleotides) under Angiostoma glandicola. RNAcentral's name for it is "eukaryotic LSU rRNA". It matches the Rfam family "Eukaryotic large subunit ribosomal RNA", at positions 369 to 934 of the family's 3401-position model. The record is from RNAcentral. Lineage: Eukaryota; Metazoa; Nematoda; Chromadorea; Rhabditida; Angiostomatidae.